UGGGGAAUCUUGCGCAAUGGGCGAAAGCCUGACGCAGCAACGCCGCGUGAGCGAAGAAGGCCUUCGGGUUGUAAAGCUCUGUCAGGGGGAAAGAAGGCACCUGGGUUAAUAGCCUAAGGGCUGACGGUACCCCCAAAGGAAGCCACGGCUAACUACGUGCCAGCAGCCGCGGUAAUACGUAGGUGGCAAGCGUUGUCCGGAAUCAUUGGGCGUAAAGAGCGCGUAGGUGGCUUGUCAGGUCUGAUGUGAAAUUUCGGGGCUCAACCCCGGACCUGCAUCAGAAACCGGCUUGCUAGAGUCUGGGAGAGGAGAGUGGAAUUCCUGGUGUAGCGGUGAAAUGCGUAGAUAUCAGGAGGAACACCGGUAGCGAAGGCGGCUCUCUGGAACAGUACUGACGCUGAGGCGCGAAAGCUAGGGGAGCGAACAG
Molecule: ribosomal RNA, 427 nt
Filed under: uncultured bacterium
Lineage: Bacteria
Description: bacterial SSU rRNA
Rfam family: Bacterial small subunit ribosomal RNA
Source: RNAcentral